This 853-nucleotide ribosomal RNA is filed under the name Wolbachia endosymbiont of Cadra cautella. RNAcentral describes it as "bacterial SSU rRNA". It matches the Rfam family "Bacterial small subunit ribosomal RNA", at positions 93 to 983 of the family's 1533-position model. The record is from RNAcentral. Lineage: Bacteria; Pseudomonadati; Pseudomonadota; Alphaproteobacteria; Rickettsiales; Anaplasmataceae.
UAGUGGCAGACGGGUGAGUAAUGUAUAGGAAUCUACCUAGUAGUACGGAAUAAUUGUUGGAAACGACAACUAAUACCGUAUACGCCCUACGGGGGAAAAAUUUAUUGCUAUUAGAUGAGCCUAUAUUAGAUUAGCUAGUUGGUGGGGUAAUAGCCUACCAAGGUAAUGAUCUAUAGCUGAUCUGAGAGGAUGAUCAGCCACACUGGAACUGAGAUACGGUCCAGACUCCUACGGGAGGCAGCAGUGGGGAAUAUUGGACAAUGGGCGAAAGCCUGAUCCAGCCAUGCCGCAUGAGUGAAGAAGGCCUUUGGGUUGUAAAGCUCUUUUAGUGAGGAAGAUAAUGACGGUACUCACAGAAGAAGUCCUGGCUAACUCCGUGCCAGCAGCCGCGGUAAUACGGAGAGGGCUAGCGUUAUUCGGAAUUAUUGGGCGUAAAGGGCGCGUAGGCUGGUUAAUAAGUUAAAAGUGAAAUCCCGAGGCUUAACCUUGGAAUUGCUUUUAAAACUAUUAAUCUAGAGAUUGAAAGAGGAUAGAGGAAUUCCUGAUGUAGAGGUAAAAUUCGUAAAUAUUAGGAGGAACACCAGUGGCGAAGGCGUCUAUCUGGUUCAAAUCUGACGCUGAAGCGCGAAGGCGUGGGGAGCAAACAGGAUUAGAUACCCUGGUAGUCCACGCUGUAAACGAUGAAUGUUAAAUAUGGGGAGUUUUACUUUCUGUAUUACAGCUAACGCGUUAAACAUUCCGCCUGGGGACUACGGUCGCAAGAUUAAAACUCAAAGGAAUUGACGGGGACCCGCACAAGCGGUGGAGCAUGUGGUUUAAUUCGAUGCAACGCGAAAAACCUUACCACUUCUUG